GACGAACGCUGGCGGCGUGCCUAAUACAUGCAAGUCGAACGGAAAGGCCCUGCUUUUGUGGGGUGCUCGAGUGGCGAACGGGUGAGUAACACGUGAGUAACCUGUCCUUGUCUUUGGGAUAACUUCAGGAAAAUGGGGCUAAUAUCGGAUAGGAUCUCCUGAUGCACGGUGGGCGUUGGAAAGUUUCGGCGGUUGGGGAUGGACUCGCGGCUUAUCAGCUUGUUGGUGGGGUAGUGGCUUACCAAGGCUUUGACGGGUAGCCGGCCUGAGAGGGUGACCGGCCACAUUGGGACUGAGAUACGGCCCAGACUCCUACGGGAGGCAGCAGUGGGGAAUAUUGCACAAUGGGCGGAAGCCUGAUGCAGCAACGCCGCGUGCGGGAUGACGGCCUUCGGGUUGUAAACCGCUUUCGCCUGUGACGAAGCGUGAGUGACGGUAAUUGGUAAAGAAGCACCGGCUAACUACGUG
RNAcentral lists this ribosomal RNA (468 nucleotides) under uncultured bacterium. RNAcentral describes it as "partial 16S ribosomal RNA". It matches the Rfam family "Bacterial small subunit ribosomal RNA", at positions 28 to 507 of the family's 1533-position model. The record is from RNAcentral.